Molecule: ribosomal RNA, 508 nt
Filed under: Papiliotrema flavescens
Lineage: Eukaryota; Fungi; Basidiomycota; Tremellomycetes; Tremellales; Rhynchogastremaceae
Description: eukaryotic LSU rRNA
Rfam family: 5.8S ribosomal RNA (bases 128-281)
Source: RNAcentral
CUGCGGAAGGAUCAUUAUUGAUUGGUCGAAAGACCUUAUCAGAUUCUACCACCUCUGUGAACCGUUGACCUCCGGGUUAAUAAUCAAACAUCAGUGUAACGAACGUAAGAGUAUCUUAAUUAAACAAAACUUUUAACAACGGAUCUCUUGGCUCUCGCAUCGAUGAAGAACGCAGCGAAAUGCGAUAAGUAAUGUGAAUUGCAGAAUUCAGUGAAUCAUCGAAUCUUUGAACGCACCUUGCGCCUUUUGGUAUUCCGAAAGGCAUGCCUGUUUCAGUGUCAUGAAAUCUCAAUCUAAUAUGUUUUCUGAACAUGUUAGGCUUGGACUUGGGUGUCUGCCAGCAAUGGCUCACCUUAAAUGACUUAGUGGAACAUCCCACAUCAGUGUUAGACGUAAUAAGUUUCGUCUCUCCUUGUGGUGAUGACUGCUCAGAACCUGCCAUCGCGCAUCUUUUGACUUUGACCUGAAAUCAGGUAGGGCUACCCGCUGAACUUAAGCAUAUCAAUAA